This 497-nucleotide ribosomal RNA is filed under the name uncultured bacterium. RNAcentral's name for it is "partial 16S ribosomal RNA". It matches the Rfam family "Bacterial small subunit ribosomal RNA", at positions 28 to 507 of the family's 1533-position model. The record is from RNAcentral.
GAUGAACGCUGGCGGCGUGCCUAAUACAUGCAAGUCGAGCGAACGGACGAGAAGCUUGCUUCUCUGAUGUUAGCGGCGGACGGGUGAGUAACACGUGGAUAACCUACCUAUAAGACUGGGAUAACUUCGGGAAACCGGAGCUAAUACCGGAUGAUAUUUUGAACCGCAUGGUUCAAAAGUGAAAGACGGUCUUGCUGUCACUUAUAGAUGGAUCCGCGCUGCAUUAGCUAGUUGGUAAGGUAACGGCUUACCAAGGCAACGAUGCGUAGCCGACCUGAGAGGGUGAUCGGCCACACUGGAACUGAGACACGGUCCAGACUCCUACGGGAGGCAGCAGUAGGGAAUCUUCCGCAAUGGGCGAAAGCCUGACGGAGCAACGCCGCGUGAGUGAUGAAGGUCUUCGGAUCGUAAAACUCUGUUAUUAGGGAAGAACAUAUGUGUAAGUAACUGUGCACAUCUUGACGGUACCUAAUCAGAAAGCCAUGGCUAACUACGUG